UACGGAGGGUGCGAGCGUUGUCCGGAUUUAUUGGGUUUAAAGGGUGCGUAGGCGGCCCGUUAAGUCUGGGGUGAAAGCCCGCUGCUCAACAGCGGAACUGCCCUGGAUACUGACGGGCUUGAGUACAGACGAGGUUGGCGGAAUGGACGGAGUAGCGGUGAAAUGCAUAGAUACCGUCCAGAACCCCGAUUGCGAAGGCAGCUGACUAGGCUGUUACUGACGCUGAGGCACGACAGCGUGGGGAGCGAACAGG
RNAcentral lists this ribosomal RNA (253 nucleotides) under uncultured bacterium. Its description in RNAcentral is "partial 16S ribosomal RNA". It matches the Rfam family "Bacterial small subunit ribosomal RNA", at positions 524 to 776 of the family's 1533-position model. The record is from RNAcentral.